GCCGGACCGGUCCCGUUCGGUCGGUCUCCCUCCCAGCAUCAUUUCUAGACCGGUGAGAGGAGCCCUAGCGCCGCCGUGAGAGAGCGGUGCCGCCCGAAAGCAAGGGCUGCCCCGAGCUUCCCUUCGCCGGAACUUCCUCCUCCGGCCACCAAUCCGGGCAAGCUUGGUAUGGUUUUGUAGCCCUCCAACCCAGCAACCUUGCCCUAAAAGGACUCACUCCCUCUUGAGCUAGGUAAGGAGAAAUUUGAGGUGGAAGUUUUAUGGUGUUUUUGAUGUUUUUAGUCGAUUGCCCUAGUUAGGCUUGGAAUUGGUGUUUGUGCGAGUUAUGAAAGUUGUAGAGCUUGAUGAGAGGAAGAUGCUGUUAAAAUUUCAUAGGUUUUGGAGGUCGCUGGAAUUGACCUCCGGCCGCCGCUGCCGGCGGAGCCGCCGGCGGCGCCGCCGCCGGUUGGGAGAUUUUAAUGUUGUUAAAUUUGGAAUAUUAAGGGGAGUUUAUUGAAGUGAGUUAUGGAAUUUUUGGAUGAGUUUUGGAUAGGUUUAUGAAUUUCCGAAGUGUGGUAUUUUUGGCGGGUAAUUAAUGUAGAAUCCGGCCGUUGGAUUUAAGUCGUAUUUUGGAGAGGUUGUAUUUACGACUGUGGAGUAUGAUAUUUAAGUUCGGAUCGUCCGAUGUAAGAAUAUCGAAGUUAGGCAAUAAUGAGCGUAAUUAUGGCUCUCGGGUAAUUUUGCCUAUUUUGAUUAAAUAUUGGAUAUUGGUUGGGAAAUUAAUAUUAUAUUUGGAACAGAACGUGAAGAGGCUCGAGCAGACGAGACCCCAGAUUGACAUCAGGCUUAGGCCUAAUUCGUGAGUGGACUUUAUUUGAAAUAAUAUGCAUGCUAUGGUUCAUGAUUGAACAUUUCCUUUUGUUGGAGUUUUUGACGUCAAUUAAUUUUGACGCUUUUAUUCU
This 941-nucleotide long non-coding RNA is filed under the name Fragaria vesca (wild strawberry). RNAcentral's name for it is "long non-coding RNA (FVES_LNC004364)". The record is from RNAcentral. Lineage: Eukaryota; Viridiplantae; Streptophyta; Magnoliopsida; Rosales; Rosaceae.